GCGGGCGGGGCGCGAGCAGUGCCGGGAAAACCCGGCGUGGAGCCGCCGCCGGAACGGGACUGCGGCCAUGGCGCCUCAGCAAACCCACCUCGGAGACUUGCCCGUGUUUAAAGAUUUAUCUCAGAGCCUUACGUUUUAUUCAGGGCUUUAGACAUGAGGACACAACCCCGCUGGGACGGGCAGAGCACAUUCUGGCAGAUCUCUGCUGCGCUCAGUUGGCUCCUGUGCCAUCCCAGUCAAACUGCACAGCAAUUCCAGGCCAUGGCUGAGAACAAAACGGGGCUUUGUCUGCAAGACUCAGGAGACGCCAUUCAGUCCAAUCCGCCUACAAAAUCCUUCAUUUGCCAGCACCCAAAGAAAAUGGAAGGGACACAGAUAACACCCAGGACUGCUCACCAGCAGGAACAGAGCAGAGGCCCAGCAACAGCUUUGUGAUUAGUUUGAGGGAAACCGCCUGUGUCUGGCUGACACAUGGAGCUGUUACAGGAGGGGAACGCUCUGGGGAGCUCCUUGGCCUCUGCUGCCUCGUGUUUGUACCAACACUCAUCACAGCAGCAGUGAUAAUAAUCUCAAACACUUGGGUCGUUUAGACGGGGAA
Long non-coding RNA from Corapipo altera (White-ruffed manakin), 598 nucleotides. RefSeq lists it as uncharacterized. NCBI's taxonomy places the organism in Eukaryota, Metazoa, Chordata, Aves, Passeriformes, Pipridae. The transcript has 2 exons. The record is from RefSeq and is a predicted model, not a curated record.